GCCGCGGUAUCCUAACCGUGCGAAGGUAGCGUAAUCACUUGGUCUUUAAAUGGAGGACUUAGUAUGGAUGGCACCACGAGGGUUAGACUGUCUCCUUUUUUUGAUCAGUGAAACUAAUCUCCCCGUGAAAAAGCGGGAAAUAUUUUAUAAGACGAGAAGACCCUAUGAAGCUUUAAACAAACUAACAUCCGCUACCACUUUAUUACUUUCAGAAUUACAUCAAGAAAUAUAGCAACUUGGAUUACAAGUUUUCGAUUGGGGUGAUCACGGAGUAAAAAACAACCUCCACGCCGAAAGGACUAAACUCCUCAACAAAAAGCCACAGCUUUAUGCACUAAUAUAUUAACGCCUUUGACCCAUUAUUUGAUCAACGAACCAAGUUACUCUAGGGAUAACAGCGCAAUCUACUUCGAGAGCCCCUAUCGACAAGUAGGUUUACGACCUCGAUGUUGGAUCAGGGUGUCCCAGUGGUGCAGCCGCUACUAACGGUUCGUUUGUUCAACGAUUAAAACCCUACGUGAUCUGAGUUCAGACCGGAGUAAUCCAGGUCCUAUA
Molecule: ribosomal RNA, 555 nt
Filed under: Bokermannohyla astartea (Paranapiacaba treefrog)
Lineage: Eukaryota; Metazoa; Chordata; Amphibia; Anura; Hylidae
Description: partial large subunit ribosomal RNA
Rfam family: Bacterial large subunit ribosomal RNA
Source: RNAcentral